This 369-nucleotide ribosomal RNA is filed under the name uncultured organism. Its description in RNAcentral is "partial 16S ribosomal RNA". It matches the Rfam family "Bacterial small subunit ribosomal RNA", at positions 527 to 896 of the family's 1533-position model. The record is from RNAcentral.
GGAGGAUCCAAGCGUUAUCCGGAAUCAUUGGGUUUAAAGGGUCCGUAGGUGGAUAAUUAAGUCAGAGGUGAAAUCCUGCAGCUCAACUGUAGAAUUGCCUUUGAUACUGGUUAUCUUGAGUUAUUAUGAAGUAGUUAGAAUAUGUAGUGUAGCGGUGAAAUGCAUAGAUAUUACAUAGAAUACCAAUUGCGAAGGCAGAUUACUAAUAAUAUACUGACACUGAUGGACGAAAGCGUGGGUAGCGAACAGGAUUAGAUACCCUGGUAGUCCCACGCCCGUAAACGAUGGAUACUAGCUGUUCGGACUUCGGUUUGAGUGGCUAAGCGAAAGUGAUAAGUAUCCCCACCUGGGAGUACGUUCGCAAGAAUG